UGGGGUUAUGGCUCAGUGGUACAGCACUUGCCUAGCACGUGUGAGGCCCUGAGUUCGAUCCUCAGCACCACAA
This 73-nucleotide transfer RNA is filed under the name Marmota monax (woodchuck). Its description in RNAcentral is "tRNA.Ala". Lineage: Eukaryota; Metazoa; Chordata; Mammalia; Rodentia; Sciuridae. The record is from RNAcentral.